Molecule: ribosomal RNA, 532 nt
Filed under: Chaetosphaeronema hispidulum
Lineage: Eukaryota; Fungi; Ascomycota; Dothideomycetes; Pleosporales; Phaeosphaeriaceae
Description: eukaryotic LSU rRNA
Rfam family: 5.8S ribosomal RNA (bases 163-315)
Source: RNAcentral
UAGAGCGACUAGCUUGCCAGCCUGCUGGCCUGCGAGUACCUUCUCUGUCUGAACCCUUGUCUUUUUGCAUACUCAUGUUUCCUCCGCGGGGUUGCCCGACGGUUGGACAAACCAUAAACCUUUUUAAAUUUUCAAUCAGCGCCUGAACUUUAUAAUAAUUACCACUUUCAACUACGGAUCUCUAGGUUCUGGCAUCAAUGAAGAACGCAAUGUGUUGCCAUAAUUCAUGUGAAUUGCAUAACUUGGGAAUCAUCUAAUCUUUGAACGCACAUUGCGCCCCUUGGUAUUCCAUGGGGCAUGCUUGUUCGAGCGUCAUUUGUACCCUCAAGCUUUGCUUGGUGUUGGGUGUUUGUCCUUUCCCUGCGUCAGGACUCGCCUUAAAUUCAUUGGCAGCCGAUGUAUUGGUUUGAAGCGCAGACAAUUUGCGACUCAUGCUGGUGACCAUGGGCGUCCAGUAAGCACAUUUAACACUUUUGACCUCGGAUGAAGUAGGGAUACCCGCUGAACUUAAGAAUAUCAAUAAGCGGAGGAA